Molecule: long non-coding RNA, 954 nt
Organism: Aedes aegypti (yellow fever mosquito)
Lineage: Eukaryota; Metazoa; Arthropoda; Insecta; Diptera; Culicidae
Exons: 2
Source: RefSeq, a predicted model, not a curated record
ACGAAUAUGACCCGGCAAAAAAUAGGCUGGGAUCAUAUUACAUUCUGAACACGCAAACAGCGUGUGGUCGUCAAGCGCAAUUCGGUUUGGCGCAAUUAGCCUUCUCCGUAUCUCUCUCUCUGAGCAUUCUCUUUUCCGGUGUCGAUCACUGAUUGGUGAUCAAAUACAUAACAAUACAUAAGUGCUUUCAAGUGUCUCCGAACUAAAUAAGUGUCAGAAUAAUUUUGGAUAACUGAAUAAAUCAAUUCUGUCUUGACCCUCAAACCGAGAGGUUCGUUUGCCAUUUUAAUUAUCGAGGAUGAUGACAACCAAAAAGGAGAUUUCUCUACAUGGCUACCAAAGUGACAGGCUACCAAAGUGAAAAAGUGUGAAAAACAGUUGUGAAGAUUUUGAAGUGAAGAUUUUGCACCAUGACGGUGACAUCGAUCUUAAUUAUAAUGCUAGCAUUAAUUUUGAUGUGCGCAACAGUGGCAUUAAUGCAGCAAAUAAUCACCGAGUGGGCUAAAGGAAUGGAAAAGGCACAAUUUGCCAUAUUAACGAACUAACUGAAGUGAAAUAAAACGGACAAGGAGCGUUAGAACAGUGUAGUUUGAGUGAAUCAGCAACAUGGGCACUACGGAGUCCAAGAACACGGAAAAUAAAGGAACAUUCACGGAAGCAAGCUUUAAAAGCUGCGAAGAGUGUGUCGGCUUUAAAUAAACUAAGUGAGGUUUAAAAAAAAAAAAAAAGUACAAACAGUGUCGAACUCGAAAAACGGUCAGUUUUUUUUUUCAGGCAUCUAUCUCGCCUCUAAGAGAUAAACAGUGGGGCAGUAGCCCAUAAUUAAGAAAGUAGCCGAAUCUAACAUGAUGAAUGAACGCGAGACCCUUGCCUAAGGCCGGCAACAGUAGCAGCGAAUAGCAGCAGAAAAGUGAAUCAUCAUUAAAAGCGAGCGUAGAGGAGUGCGCCUCCGCC